RNAcentral lists this ribosomal RNA (264 nucleotides) under uncultured bacterium. Its description in RNAcentral is "partial 16S ribosomal RNA". It matches the Rfam family "Bacterial small subunit ribosomal RNA", at positions 793 to 1055 of the family's 1533-position model. The record is from RNAcentral.
GUCCACGCCGUAAACGAUGGGCACUAGGUGUGGCGGGUGUCGACUCCCGCUGUGCCGAAGCUAACGCAUUAAGUGCCCCGCCUGGGGAGUACGGCCGCAAGGCUAAAACUCAAAGGAAUUGACGGGGGCCCGCACAAGCAGCGGAGCAUGUGGUUUAAUUCGACGCAACGCGAAGAACCUUACCAGGGCUUGACAUGCACUGGAAAGCCGUAGAAAUACGGCCUCCCUUCGGGGGCCAGUGUGCAGGUGGUGCAUGGCUGUCGU